CCCAGGGCGAUGCCCUGGGCUGGUAUGUGAUGCCCUUUCAGGGCU
Molecule: small RNA, 45 nt
Filed under: Candidatus Magnetomorum sp. HK-1
Lineage: Bacteria; Pseudomonadati; Thermodesulfobacteriota; Desulfobacteria; Desulfobacterales; Candidatus Magnetomoraceae
Description: Acido-Lenti-1 RNA
Rfam family: Acido-Lenti-1 RNA
Source: Rfam by way of RNAcentral